This 543-nucleotide ribosomal RNA is filed under the name uncultured bacterium. Its description in RNAcentral is "partial 16S ribosomal RNA". It matches the Rfam family "Bacterial small subunit ribosomal RNA", at positions 355 to 887 of the family's 1533-position model. The record is from RNAcentral.
UGGGGAAUAUUGCACAAUGGGCGCAAGCCUGAUGCAGCCAUGCCGCGUGUGUGAAGAAGGCCUUCGGGUUGUAAAGCACUUUCAGCGAGGAGGAAGGUGGUGAACUUAAUACGUUCAUCAAUUGACGUUACUCGCAGAAGAAGCACCGGCUAACUCCGUGCCAGCAGCCGCGGUAAUACGGAGGGUGCAAGCGUUAAUCGGAAUUACUGGGCGUAAAGCGCACGCAGGCGGUUUGUUAAGUCAGAUGUGAAAUCCCCGGGCUCAACCUGGGAACUGCAUUUGAAACUGGCAAGCUAGAGUCUCGUAGAGGGGGGCUAGAAUUCCAGGUGUAGCGGUGAAAUGCGUAGAGAUCUGGAGGAAUACCGGUGGCGAAGGCGGCCCCCCUGGACGAAGACUGACGCUCAGGUGCGAAAGCGUGGGGCAGCAAACAGGAUUAGAUACCCUGGUAGUCAGCGCUGUAAACGAUGUCGAUUUGGAGGUUGUGCCCUUGAGGCGUGGCUUCCGGAGCUAACGCGUUAAAUCGACCGCCUGGGGAGUACGGCC